GAGCCACCGAGCGCAGCAAGCAUAACAUUAGUUAACAAACAACAUUCUUUGGGAAAAGGCUGUGCGCUCUCGAGAUGGAUUUUAUUCUCGUUUGGACCGACUGACUUAUAUCGGUGUGAGAGUGGACCAAGACGAUGACAGGUCCCAACCUGGAACCAUUACCGAGGAGUGUCAGGCACAACACAGCCCACCAUCAUCAGUUCCUUCUGAGGAAGGCUCUGAGGCUUCUGAGCAGGACGACGACCCAGACCCAGAGCAACCAGAGCCUGAAGAUGUGCUUCCCUGAUUGUAGUAGGGAAAAC
Long non-coding RNA from Cyprinodon tularosa, 302 nucleotides. RefSeq lists it as uncharacterized. NCBI's taxonomy places the organism in Eukaryota, Metazoa, Chordata, Actinopteri, Cyprinodontiformes, Cyprinodontidae. The record is from RefSeq and is a predicted model, not a curated record. The transcript is spliced from 3 exons.